RNAcentral lists this ribosomal RNA (292 nucleotides) under uncultured bacterium. RNAcentral's name for it is "partial 16S ribosomal RNA". It matches the Rfam family "Bacterial small subunit ribosomal RNA", at positions 505 to 796 of the family's 1533-position model. The record is from RNAcentral.
GUGUCAGCAGCCGCGGUAAGACAGAGGAGCCAAGCGUUGUCCGGAUUGACUGGGCGUAAAGGGCACGCAGGCGGCGCCGCGCGUGGGGUGUGAAAGCGGGCGGCUUAACUGCCCCAGGUCAUCCCAUACGGCGGUGCUGGAGCCAUCCAGAGGUCGGUGGAAUUGCCGGUGUAGUGGUGAAAUGCGUAGAGAUCGGCAGGAACACCCAGGGGGAAACCAGCCGACUGGGGAUGCGCUGACGCUGAGGUGCGAGAGCGUGGGGAGCGAACCGGAUUAGAUACCCGCGUAGUCC